UGAGCUUCAAGAAAAUUACUUGUUUGGUGUUGGAGAGAGGCACAGCAACUGUGAUACGAGAACCAGUGGCAGCUGCAACAAGAGUAGGAAGAAGAGAAUCGCUGGCUGAUUCAACAAAUAAGAGAUAAGACAACGUCGGUGUAGAUACCAUGGGUGAGGAAGAGAUAACCACCGGGUCAGGAGCAACAAUACUGGUGGGGGCUGUGUUGUUGUGAUUGUGUGUUGGAUCCAUAAGAAAAGAAAAGGUGUUUAGAUGUGUACUUCUGAUAUAAAAUUGAGAAUAAUAAGAAGUUUAAACAAUAUAUUAGUCAUGUAGGGAAUUCCGACCGGUGAUGUUCUGAAAUUUGCUCAUUGGAGGCUAAGCAUGCUGAAACAAUAUUUAACGUGGUUCGGCAAACUGCCU
RNAcentral lists this long non-coding RNA (403 nucleotides) under Populus trichocarpa (black cottonwood). RNAcentral describes it as "long non-coding RNA (PTRI_LNC004139)". Lineage: Eukaryota; Viridiplantae; Streptophyta; Magnoliopsida; Malpighiales; Salicaceae. The record is from RNAcentral.